RNAcentral lists this long non-coding RNA (1607 nucleotides) under Pongo abelii (Sumatran orangutan). Its description in RNAcentral is "lincRNA". The stretch from base 536 to 640 matches the Rfam family "Maternally expressed 3 conserved region 2". Lineage: Eukaryota; Metazoa; Chordata; Mammalia; Primates; Hominidae. The record is from RNAcentral.
AGCCCCUAGCGCAGACGGCGGAGAGCAGAGAGGGAGCGCGCCUUGGCUCGCUGGCCUUGGCUGCGGCUCCUCGGGAGAGCUGGGGCGCCCACGAGAGGAUCCCUCACCUGGGUCUCUCCUCAGGGAUGACAUCAUCCGUCCACCUCCUUGUCUUCAAGGACCACCUCCUCUCCAUGCCGAGCUGCUGCCAAGGGGCCUGCUGCCCAUCUACACCUCACGAGGGCACUAGGAGCACGGAUUCCUGGAUCCCACCAACAUACAAAGCAGCCACUCACAGACCCCCAGGACCAGGAUGGCAAAGGAUGAAGAGGACCGGAACUGACCUGCCAGCUGUCCCUCUUACCUAAAGACUUAAACCAAUGCCCUAGUGAGGGGGCAUUGGACAUUAAGCCCUGACUUUUGCUAUGCUCAUGCUUUGACUCUAUGAGUACUUUCCUAUAAGUCUUCGCUUGUGUUCACCUGCUAGCAAACUGGAGUGUUUCCCUCCCCAAGGGGGUGUCAGUCUUUGUCGACUGACUCUGUCAUCACCCUUAUGAUGUCCUGAAUGGAAGGAUCCCUUUGGGAAAUUCUCAGGAGGGGGACCUGGGCCAAGGGCUUGACCAGCAUCCUGCUGGCAACUCCAAGGCCCUGGGUGGGCUUCUGGAAUGAGCAUGCUACUGAAUCACCAAAGGCAUGCCCCACCUCUCUGGAGAUCUUCCUAUCCUUUUCUGGGGAAUGGGGUCAAUGGGAGCAACCUCCUAGGGUUGUUGUGAGAAUUAAAUGAGAUAAAAGAGGCCUCAGGCAGGAUCUGGCAUAGAGGAGGUGAUCAGCAAAUGUUUGUUGAAAAGGUUUGACAGGUCAGUCCCUUCCCACCCCUCUUGCUUGUCUUACUCGUCUUAUUUAUUCUCCAACAGCACUCCAGGCAGCCCUUGUCCACGGGCUCUCCUUGCAUCAGGGCUAAUCUAGGGCCUUGUCGAAGGAAGAGGCUGCAGACGUUAAUGAGGUUAGCUGCUGGAUUCCAAUAUUCGUCGCAUAAGGAGCCUUCUUUGUCUGCGAAGGAAAAACACACUGAUUAUCAUAAUGAGGCACGUGGGCCGCGGCCCAGCUGGGUCGGCUGAAGAACUGCGGAUGGAAGCUGUGGAAGAGGCCCUGAUGGGGCCCACCAUCCCGGACCCGAGUCUUCUUCCUGGAGGGCCUCUCGUCUCCUUCCUGUUUUGGGCGGAAGCCAUCACCUGGAUUCCUACGUGGGAAGGGACCUCGAAUGUGCGACCCCAGCCCCUCUCCAGCUCGAAAUCCCUCCACAGCCACGGGGACGCCCUGCACCUAUUCCCACGGGACAGGCUGGACCCAGAGACUCUGGACCCGGGGCCUCCCCUUGAGUAGAGACCCGCCCUCUGACUGAUGGACGCCGCUGACCUGGGGUCAGACCCGAGGGCUGGACCCCUGCCCACCCCGCAGGAACCCUGAGGCCUAGGGGAGCUGUUGAGCCUUCAGUGUCUGCAUGUGGGAAGUGGGCUCGUUCACCUACCUCACAGGGCUGUUGUGAGGGGCGCUGUGAUGCGGUUCCAAAGCACAGGGCUUGGCGCACCCCACUGUGCUCUCAAUAAAUGUGUUUCCUGUCUUAACAA